Molecule: transfer RNA, 64 nt
Filed under: Mahmutkashgaria sulcatus
Lineage: Eukaryota; Metazoa; Arthropoda; Insecta; Hemiptera; Delphacidae
Description: tRNA-Glu
Source: RNAcentral
AUUUAUGUAGUUUACUUAAAACAAAUUAUUUUCAAUAAUUAAAAAAAAAUUAUUUUCAUAAAUU